AAACUGCGAAUGGCUCAUUAAAUCAGUUAUCGUUUAUUUGAUAGUACCUUACUACUUGGAUAACCGUGGUAAUUCUAGAGCUAAUACAUGCUAAAAACCCCAACUUACGAAGGGGUGUAUUUAUUAGAUAAAAAACCAAUGCCCUUCGGGGCCCCCUGGUGAUUCAUAAUAACUUAACGAAUCGCAUGGCCUUGCGCCGGCGAUGGUUCAUUCAAAUUUCUGCCCUAUCAACUUUCGAUGGUUGUGUAGUGGACAACCAUGGUAUCAACGGGUGACGGGGAAUUAGGGUUCUAUUCCGGAGAGGGAGCCUGAGAAACGGCUACCACAUCCAAGGAAGGCAGCAGGCGCGCAAAUUACCCAAUCCCGAUACGGGGAGGUAGUGACAAUAAAUACUGAUACAGGGCUCUUUUGGGUCUUGUAAUUGGAAUGAGUACAAUUUAAAUCCCUUAACGAGGAACAAUUGGAGGGCAAGUCUGGUGCCAGCAGCCGCGGUAAUUCCAGCUCCAAUAGCGUAUAUUAAAGUUGUUGCAGUUAAAAAGCUCGUAGUUGAACCUUGGGCCUGGCUGGCCGGUCCGCCUCACCGCGUGUACUGGUCCGGCCGGGCCUUUCCUUCUGGGGAGCCGCAUGCCCUUCACUGGGUGUGUCGGGGAACCAGGACUUUUACUUUGAAAAAAUUAGAGUGUUCAAAGCAGGCCUUUGCUCGGAUACAUUAGCAUGGAAUAAUAGAAUAGGACGUGUGGUUCUAUUUUGUUGGUUUCUAGAACCGCCGUAAUGAUUAAUAGGGAUAGUCGGGGGCAUCAGUAUUCAAUUGUCAGAGGUGAAAUUCUUGGAUUUAUUGAAGACUAACUACUGCGAAAGCAUUUGCCAAGGAUGUUUUCAUUAAUCAGUGAACGAAAGUUAGGGGAUCGAAGACGAUCAGAUACCGUCGUAGUCUUAACCAUAAACUAUGCCGACUAGGGAUCGGGCGAUGUUAUUAUUUUGACUCGCUCGGCACCUUACGAGAAAUCAAAGUUUUUGGGUUCUGGGGGGAGUAUGGUCGCAAGGCUGAAACU
RNAcentral lists this ribosomal RNA (1052 nucleotides) under Patellaria chromolaenae. RNAcentral describes it as "SSU rRNA". It matches the Rfam family "Eukaryotic small subunit ribosomal RNA", at positions 84 to 1144 of the family's 1831-position model. The record is from RNAcentral. Lineage: Eukaryota; Fungi; Ascomycota; Dothideomycetes; Patellariales; Patellariaceae.